GCCUCAUUGACUUAGUAGCAGAGCGUCUAUUUUGUGAACAGAAGGUCGCUGGUUCGAUUCCAGCAUGGGGCA
RNAcentral lists this transfer RNA (72 nucleotides) under Haemonchus placei. It matches the Rfam family "tRNA". Rfam says of the family: Transfer RNA (tRNA) molecules are approximately 80 nucleotides in length. The record is from Rfam by way of RNAcentral. Lineage: Eukaryota; Metazoa; Nematoda; Chromadorea; Rhabditida; Trichostrongylidae.